UAUUGCUUUGUUGGCCCAAGGAUAUUCUUCAAGAAUGCACUUCUCCUAAUACUUGUUCCUUAAUGACAGUAGAGCUUGAUCACUGAGUCGGCACCAGCUGUUAACAACCACGAUUGUUUGGACACACCCAUGCAUUUGAGAGCCAGUGGAGUGGUAAGGAUCCUGAGAAAGCAGCUCAUUAGUGCCAAGGAACAAAAUAUUUAUGUUUUUACUGAAUACUAGGAUCAGCUUAGCAAAUUCAAGUCUAUCACCAGUUCAUAUAAAUUGGCCCCUACUCAAUUAAACUAGACAUGUACCAGUACAUUAACCAAUCAAGCAGAGAAUGCUACUGAACACAAAUCAUCAUCAACAUCAUCGAGCUCAUCAUUUGCCAUUGAGUCAAUAUUAUCUUGAAUUGAGCAUGUAGAUGC
Molecule: long non-coding RNA, 410 nt
Filed under: Aquilegia coerulea
Lineage: Eukaryota; Viridiplantae; Streptophyta; Magnoliopsida; Ranunculales; Ranunculaceae
Description: long non-coding RNA (ACOE_LNC001352)
Source: RNAcentral